RNAcentral lists this ribosomal RNA (275 nucleotides) under uncultured bacterium. RNAcentral describes it as "partial 16S ribosomal RNA". It matches the Rfam family "Bacterial small subunit ribosomal RNA", at positions 338 to 610 of the family's 1533-position model. The record is from RNAcentral.
CCUACGGGGGGCUGCAGUAAGGAAUAUUGGUCAAUGGACGCAAGUCUGAACCAGCCAUGCCGCGUGAAGGAUGAAGGUCCUCUGGAUUGUAAACUUCUUUUAUGUGGGAAGAAACCUGGAUAUUCUUAUUCAGUUGACGGUACCAUAGGAAUAAGCACCGGCUAACUCCGUGCCAGCAGCCGCGGUAAUACGGAGGGUGCAAGCGUUAUCCGGAUUCACUGGGUUUAAAGGGUGCGUAGGCGGGCAGGUAAGUCAGUGGUGAAAUCUCUGGGCUU